RNAcentral lists this ribosomal RNA (1024 nucleotides) under Acrodictys pyriformis. RNAcentral describes it as "SSU rRNA". It matches the Rfam family "Eukaryotic small subunit ribosomal RNA", at positions 68 to 1103 of the family's 1831-position model. The record is from RNAcentral. Lineage: Eukaryota; Fungi; Ascomycota; Sordariomycetes.
AGCAUUAUACCGCGAAACUGCGAAUGGCUCAUUAAAUCAGUUAUCGUUUAUUUGAUAGUACCUUACUACAAGGAUAACCGUGGUAAUUCUAGAGCUAAUACUUGCUAAAAACCCCGACUUCGGAAGGGGUGUAUUUAUUAGAUUAAAAACCAAUGCCCUUCGGGGCUCUCUGGUGAUUCAUGAUAACUUCUCGAAUCGCAUGGCCUUGCGCCGGCGAUGGUUCAUUCAAAUUUCUGCCCUAUCAACUUUCGACGGCUGGGUCUUGGCCAGCCGUGGUUGCAACGGGUAACGGAGGGUUAGGGCUCGACCCCGGAGAAGGAGCCUGAGAGACGGCUACUACAUCCAAGGAAGGCAGCAGGCGCGCAAAUUACCCAAUCCCGACACGGGGAGGUAGUGACGAUAAAUACUGAUACAGGGCUCUUUUGGGUCUUGUAAUUGGAAUGAGUACAAUUUAAAUCCCUUAACGAGGAACAAUUGGAGGGCAAGUCUGGUGCCAGCAGCCGCGGUAAUUCCAGCUCCAAUAGCGUAUAUUAAAGUUGUUGCGGUUAAAAAGCUCGUAGUUGAACCUUGGGCCUGGCUGGCCGGUCCGCCUCACCGCGUGCACUGGUCCGGCCGGGUCUUUCCCUCUGGGGAACCGCAUGCCCUUCACUGGGUGUGUCGGGGAACCAGGACUUUUACUUUGAAAAAAUUAGAGUGUUCAAAGCAGGCCUAUGCUCGGAUACAUUAGCAUGGAAUAAUAGAAUAGGACGCGCGGUUCUAUUUUGUUGGUUUCUAGGACCGCCGUAAUGAUUAAUAGGGACAGUCGGGGGCAUCAGUAUUCAAUUGUCAGAGGUGAAAUUCUUGGAUUUAUUGAAGACUAACUACUGCGAAAGCAUUUGCCAAGGAUGUUUUCAUUAAUCAGGAACGAAAGUUAGGGGAUCGAAGACGAUCAGAUACCGUCGUAGUCUUAACCAUAAACUAUGCCAACUAGGGAUCGGACGAUGUUAUUUUUUGACUUGUUCGGCACCUUACACGAAAGUACAAG